UGCUAAACGUUGUUCUGAUAUUAUGUG
Molecule: small RNA, 27 nt
Filed under: Bombyx mori (domestic silkworm)
Lineage: Eukaryota; Metazoa; Arthropoda; Insecta; Lepidoptera; Bombycidae
Description: ovarian small RNA-34048
Source: RNAcentral